GACGAACGCUGGCGGCGUGCCUAAUACAUGCAAGUAGAACGCUGAAGGAGGAGCUUGCUCUUCUGGAUGAGUUGCGAACGGGUGAGUAACGCGUAGGUAACCUGCCUGGUAGCGGGGGAUAACUAUUGGAAACGAUAGCUAAUACCGCAUAAGAGUAGAUGUUGCAUGACAUUUGCUUAAAAGGUGCAAUUGCAUCACUACCAGAUGGACCUGCGUUGUAUUUGCUAGUUGGUGGGGUAACAGCUCACCAAGGCGACGAUACAUAGCCGACCUGGGAGGGGUAUCGGCCACACCGGGACUGAGACACGGCCCAGGCUCCUACGGGAGGCAGCAGUAGGGAAUCUUCGGCAAUGGACGGAAGUCUGACCGAGCAACGCCGCGUGAGUGAAGAAGGUUUUCGGAUCGUAAAGCUCUGUUGUAAGAGAAGAACGAGUGUGAGAGUGGAAAGUUCACACUGUGACGGUAUCUCACCAGAAAGGGACGGCUAACUACGUG
This 495-nucleotide ribosomal RNA is filed under the name uncultured bacterium. RNAcentral describes it as "partial 16S ribosomal RNA". It matches the Rfam family "Bacterial small subunit ribosomal RNA", at positions 28 to 507 of the family's 1533-position model. The record is from RNAcentral.